RNAcentral lists this ribosomal RNA (465 nucleotides) under Vreelandella stevensii. Its description in RNAcentral is "partial 16S ribosomal RNA". It matches the Rfam family "Bacterial small subunit ribosomal RNA", at positions 338 to 795 of the family's 1533-position model. Lineage: Bacteria; Pseudomonadati; Pseudomonadota; Gammaproteobacteria; Oceanospirillales; Halomonadaceae. The record is from RNAcentral.
CCUACGGGUGGCAGCAGUGGGGAAUAUUGGACAAUGGGGGCAACCCUGAUCCAGCCAUGCCGCGUGUGUGAAGAAGGCCCUCGGGUUGUAAAGCACUUUCAGUGAGGAAGAACGCCUGGUGGUUAAUACCCAUCAGGAACGACAUCACUCACAGAAGAAGCACCGGCUAACUCCGUGCCAGCAGCCGCGGUAAUACGGAGGGUGCGAGCGUUAAUCGGAAUUACUGGGCGUAAAGCGCGCGUAGGUGGCUUGAUAAGCCGGUUGUGAAAGCCCCGGGCUCAACCUGGGAACGGCAUCCGGAACUGUCAAGCUAGAGUGCAGGAGAGGAAGGUAGAAUUCCCGGUGUAGCGGUGAAAUGCGUAGAGAUCGGGAGGAAUACCAGUGGCGAAGGCGGCCUUCUGGACUGACACUGACACUGAGGUGCGAAAGCGUGGGUAGCAAACAGGAUUAGAUACCCUAGUAGUC